UACGUAGGGGGCAAGCGUUAUCCGGAAUUACUGGGUGUAAAGGGAGCGUAGACGGUGAUGUAAGUCUGGAGUGAAAGGCGGGGGCCCAACCCCCGGACUGCUCUGGAAACUAUGUGACUGGAGUGCAGGAGAGGUGAGCGGAAUUCCUAGUGUAGCGGUGAAAUGCGUAGAUAUUAGGAGGAACACCAGUGGCGAAGGCGGUCUGCUGGACAGCAACUGACGGUGAGGCGCGAAAGCGUGGGGAGCAAACAGG
Molecule: ribosomal RNA, 253 nt
Filed under: uncultured bacterium
Lineage: Bacteria
Description: partial 16S ribosomal RNA
Rfam family: Bacterial small subunit ribosomal RNA
Source: RNAcentral